GUGCCAGCAGCCGCGGUAAUACAGAGGUCUCAAGCGUUGUUCGGAUUCAUUGGGCGUAAAGGGUGCGUAGGUGGCGAGGCAAGUCAGAUGUGAAAUCCCGGGGCUCAACCCCGGAACUGCAUUUGAAACUGCCUUGCUCGAGUACUGGAGAGGAGACUGGAAUUUACGGUGUAGCAGUGAAAUGCGUAGAUAUCGUAAGGAAGACCAGUGGCGAAGGCGAGUCUCUGGACAGUUACUGACACUGAGGCACGAAGGCCAGGGGAGCAAACGGGAUUAGAAACCCUGGUAGUCC
RNAcentral lists this ribosomal RNA (292 nucleotides) under uncultured bacterium. RNAcentral describes it as "partial 16S ribosomal RNA". It matches the Rfam family "Bacterial small subunit ribosomal RNA", at positions 505 to 796 of the family's 1533-position model. The record is from RNAcentral.